RNAcentral lists this transfer RNA (85 nucleotides) under Caudoviricetes sp. RNAcentral's name for it is "tRNA-Ser". It matches the Rfam family "tRNA". Rfam says of the family: Transfer RNA (tRNA) molecules are approximately 80 nucleotides in length. The record is from RNAcentral. Lineage: Duplodnaviria; Heunggongvirae; Uroviricota; Caudoviricetes.
GGAAGGUUGGCGUAACGGUAGCGCAGCGGUUUGCUAAGCCGUCAACCGGUUUAUCGGUUUGUGGGUUCGAUUCCCGCACCUUCCG